Molecule: small RNA, 3983 nt
Filed under: Pongo abelii (Sumatran orangutan)
Lineage: Eukaryota; Metazoa; Chordata; Mammalia; Primates; Hominidae
Description: retained intron
Source: RNAcentral
CACUCCAGGCCGGCAGUGUUUCUGCUGGUGUCAGAUUCUCAAGAGCCUUGUUGGUGUCUUGUGCAAGUUAUAGAGGCCCAAGCUAUAAAAUCAGAGAGUUUUCCCACAGACGCUUCCUAGGUAACCCCAUCUUCAUUGUAGAUUUCUGCUGAAAGGGUUGAGUGGACCCACAAGUCACAUACCUCAGCUCUGGGGCAAACGCUUGAACAGCCUUGCUGUUCUGUCCAGGGGACACUUUUGCAGUUUUUGUAAUAUGAUUAGGCCGAGAAUUUUCCACAUCUUCGCUUUCUGGCUCCUUUGUGCUCAACAGUUUCUUCCUUAUGUCUCUCACAUUUUACUAUAAGCAGCAAGGAGAAGUCAGGCUACGCUCUCAACACUGCUUGGAAAUCUCCUCAGCUGAAUAUCCAAGUUCAGCACCCAGCACUUACACAUUCUCCUUUCGACAAAACACUAGAACAUAAUUCAACCAAGUUCUUUUUUUUUUUUUUUUUUUGAGACGGAGUCUUGCUCUGUCACCCAGGCUGGAGUGCAGUGGAGCGAUCUUGGUUCACUGCAACCUCCGCCUCCCGGGUUCAAGCGAUUCUCCCACCUCAGCCUCCUGAUUAGCUGAGAUUACAGGCACCCGCCACCACACCCAACUAAUUUUCAUAUUUAGUAGAGAUGGGGUUUCACCGUGUUGGUCAGGCUGGUCUCAAAUUCCUGACCUCAAGUGAUCCUCCCGCCUUGGCCCCCCAAAGUGCUGGGAUUAUAGGCGUGAGCCACCACAUCUGGGCCAAGUUCCUUUAUAACCAAAAGCACCUUUUUUUUUCUUUGUAGAGACAGAGGUCUUACUCUGUUGCUCAGGCUGGAGUUCAGUGGUAUCAUCCCAGUGCACUGUAACCUCAAACUCCUGGGCUCAAGCGAUCCUCUCACCUCAGUCUCCCAAGUAGCUGCGACUACAGGCAUAUGCCACCACACCCAGCUAAUGUUUUAUUUUUUAUUAUUUAUUUUUUGAAUGUAUUGAGACAGGGUCUUGCUCUCUCACCCAGGCUGGAGGGCAGUGGCGCAAUCGUAGCUCAAGUGAUUCUCCUGCCUCAGCCUCCUGAGUAGCUGGGAUUACAGGCAUGCACCACCACACCCAGCUUAUUUUGUAUUUUUUGUAGAGACGGGGUCUCACUAUGUUGCCCAGGCUGGUCUUGAUCACCUGGCCUCAAGUGACGCUCCUGCCUUGGCCUCCCAAGGUGCUGGGAUCACAUGCGUGAAUCACCACACCCAACCCAAAAGCACCUUUAACAUUCAUGUUUCUAGCAACGUUCUGUUCAUGAUGAUAUUUGUAUUCUCUAAGACCACAGAGGCUGUCUCUAUUGCUCUCCCCUCCUCUCACCAGAAUUACCUUUAACAUCCGUACUCCUACCAACAGUCUCUUAAAGGCAAUUCAGACCUUUUCUAACAUGUACCUCAAACUUCUAUAGCCUUGAUGUGGUUUAAAUGUCUACAAAACUCAUGUUGAAAUUUGUCAAUAUAUUGACAAUGAGAGGAGGGCCUUUCUGAGGUAGUUAGGUCAUGAGGGCUCUGCCCUCAUGAAUGGAUGAAUGCCAUUAUUAUGGGCGAGUUAGUUACCUUGAAGUUCAGCCCCCUUUUUUCCUGUGUCUCAUACGUUUGCUUCCACCUUCCACCUUUCUGCCAUGGGAUGACCCUCACCAGAUGCCAGUGCCAUGCUUUUGGACUUCCCAGCCUCCAGAACCAUGAGCCAAAUGAAUCUGUUACCCAGUCUGUGGUAUUCUGUUACGGCAGCAGCAAAUGGACUAAGACAAGCCUCUACUGACUACCCAGUUCCAAAGCCAUUUCCACAUUUUUAGGUAUUUGUUACCUAAGCACCACACUUCUGGUGCCAAAACCUGUAUCCAUUUCCUGGAACUGCCAUUUCAACUGGGUGGCUUAAACAACAGAAGUGGAUUCUCUCCCUAUUCUGAAAGCCAGAAGUCUGAAAUCAAGGUGUCAGCAGGGUGGCACUCACCCUGAAAGUUCUACAGGAGGGUCCUUCCUGACCUCCCCAGGUUCCAGUGGCCCCAGGCAUACCUUGGCCUCUGGCUGUGUCACUCCUGUCUCUUCCUCCACUGUACCAUGGCUGUCUUCCCUCUGUGUGUCUUUGUCACUUCUGUUCUUAUAAGGACAUCAGUCAUGUUGCAUUAAGGACCCAACCUACUCCAGUAUGACCCCAUCUGAACUGCAAAGGCCCUAUUUGCAAAUAUCACAUUCUGAAGUACAAGAGAUUAGAACUUCAACAUACCUUAAGGGGACAGAAUUCAACCCAUAAUAGAAGCCAUCCUGCUCCAGUCCUCCCAACCAACCCCCAUCAAAAUCGGGAGACACCUGCACCCCCUGCCACACUAUCCCCUGCCACACUGCCUUUGCUCUGGUUGGCCUCAUCCAUGCAGCUAGACCCCCAGCCUGACUUACUUCACCCCUGCUUUGUUCCUGGCUGUGCAGUGGCCCAGGCCAGCCCUCAGCAUCCUUUCUUUUCUCCCACCGGUAACAGAAAAUCCUUCUGUCUUGGGUCCCUGUGGCCUCACCAGUAGGACACGGAGUAUGGAAGUGUCCCCAGCCUUGGCCUGAGCCACAUCCCCCUACUUGUGUCCUGCUCUGCGGUCACUUGUUCUACCAUGUGUGCUGGUCCUGACCUCCCCUUCAGAUCUCAGGUGACCUCAGGGCCAGGCCCAUGGAUAACACCUGCUAUCCCUGCCCAGCGCCACGGGCCAGGAAGUACAAGUGUGGCCUGCCCCAGCCGUGUCCUGAGGAGCACCUGGCCUUCCGUGUGGUCAGCGGGGCCGCCAACGUCAUUGGGCCCAAGAUCUGCCUCGAGGACAAGAUGCUGAUGAGCAGCGUCAAGGACAACGUGGGCCGCGGGCUGAACAUCGCCCUGGUGAACGGGGUCAGCGGCGAGCUCAUCGAGGCCCGGGCCUUUGACAUGUGGGCCGGAGAUGUCAACGACCUGUUGAAGUUUAUUCGGCCACUGCAUGAAGGCACCCUGGUGUUCGUGGCAUCCUACGACGACCCUGCCACCAAGUAGGUGCUUGGGGAGGCCAGCCUCAGCCUUGCCCUUCUGCAGCGACAGCUGACACCUCUUCCUCCCAUGCUGCAGGAUGAAUGAAGAGACCAGAAAGCUCUUCAGUGAGCUGGGCAGCAGGAACGCCAAGGAGCUGGCCUUCCGGGACAGCUGGGUGUUUGUCGGGGCCAAAGGUGUGCAGAACAAGAGCCCCUUCGAGCAGCACGUGAAGAACAGUAAGCACACCAACAAGUACGAAGGCUGGCCUGAGGCGCUGGAGAUGGAAGGCUGCAUCCCGCGGAGAAGCACGGCCAGCUAGCACGGCCAGCGCCAGGACCAGGCCGAGGGAGGCCAGACCAAGGGAGGCACGCGUGCUGCCGGGCGGACAGAGGCUGAGGCCCACACCCCAUGCCUGGGCAGGAGCGCUCCCUGGCCCCAACACAUCGGGGCUCCGAGGCAGUGACCAGAACGUGGUCUCAAGGUGGUGGGGGCUAUGGGGGCUGCGGGGGCUAGCCCUGCCGCACUUUGUCAUGGGAGCCCAGGGUACCCGCCUCCUUUUCGUAACACUGUUCCCCCCGGUCAGCCCAUCUCCCUGUCCUCCUCCAUUCCUCACGCCAUCUCUGUCCCCAUCCUGAGUCCUGGAAUGGCCCUGGGUGCCUGCCCCUCACUGUGCAACUCUGGGAGCAGCCCAGCAGGUUGGGGCGUCUUCCAGAACCUCUCCCUUCUGGAGUCACUCUGCACUGCGGGCUAAACAUGUUUCCAAUGUGAUUCCUUCCAGUGAGCCAAACCCGGUGGCUGCUUCAUGAGCCUGACUGCCUCUUGCCUGCUCUCAGCAGGAAGGGACCCCUGGAGCAGGCUGGCCCGGGGUGGUGAAGUAGCUGGAGCCCGAUCACAGUCCCGCGGUUUGUCAGGGGGCCCACCUUCUAGAUGACCCCUUAAUAAAGUGAUGGACCCACAG